CAAUAGCGUAUAUUAAAGUUGUUGCAGUUAAAAAGCUCGUAGUUGAAUCUCGGUCGUCGCUUGCCGGACUGCUCUCAGAGUACGAUCUGGUGUAGUGGCGUCUUACUUGGUGAAGGCCCGUGCUGCUCUUAACUGAGUGGUCGGUGUCCGUUUGCCUCGUUUACUGUGAACAAAUUAGAGUGUUUAAAGCAGGCAUUUGCUUGAAUACAUUAGCAUGGAAUAAUGGAAUAGGACUUUGGUUCUAUUUUGUUGGUUUCUAGAAUCGAAGUAAUGAUUAAUAGGGAUAGUUGGGGGCAUUCAUAUUUAAUUGUCAGAGGUGAAAUUCUUGGAUUUAUGAAAGAUGAACUUCUGCGAAAGCAUUUGCCAAGGAUGUUUUCAUUAA
RNAcentral lists this ribosomal RNA (382 nucleotides) under uncultured eukaryote. RNAcentral describes it as "partial 18S ribosomal RNA". It matches the Rfam family "Eukaryotic small subunit ribosomal RNA", at positions 592 to 976 of the family's 1831-position model. The record is from RNAcentral.